CAGUCGUACCGGCGGAUAAUCAGCCUUUCGGGUGCGAUUACUGUGGGGCGUGAGGAGCUUAGCCGCCUUCAUGUUUUGCAUAUUCGUGCACAUUUGGUGUACUUGUCCGUGUGGUGGGUUAACAUCAAUUUCGGUCGUCAUAAAAUGAUUGGAGGAAUGUAGCUUUGAUCUCGUAUCGAAGUGUUAAUAGACUCUGGUAGAUGUGACGGUUGGGAUUGAGGAUUGCAACGGAUACCCUUCGGGGCUACCGUCUGAAUCUCUGAAGUUG
RNAcentral lists this ribosomal RNA (268 nucleotides) under Rhizophagus fasciculatus. The record is from RNAcentral. Lineage: Eukaryota; Fungi; Glomeromycota; Glomeromycetes; Glomerales; Glomeraceae.